RNAcentral lists this ribosomal RNA (252 nucleotides) under uncultured bacterium. RNAcentral describes it as "partial 16S ribosomal RNA". It matches the Rfam family "Archaeal small subunit ribosomal RNA", at positions 474 to 727 of the family's 1478-position model. The record is from RNAcentral.
UACCCGCAGCACAAGUGGUGGUCAUUAUUAUUGGGCCUAAAGCGUCCGUAGCUGGCGUGUUAGAUGCCUGGGUAAAUCGAUGCGCUCAACGCAUCGAAUUCCGGGUAGACCGGCACGCUCGAGACCGGGAGAGGUGUAGGGUACUCGGGGGUAGGGGUAAAAUCCUGUAAUCCUCCGGGGACGACCAGUGGCGAAGGCGCUACACUAGAACGGCUCUGACAGUGAGGGACGAAGCCCUGGGGCGCAAACCGG